UACGUAGGGUGCAAGCGUUGUCCGGAAUUAUUGGGCGUAAAGAGCUCGUAGGCGGUUUGUUGCGUCGGCUGUGAAAUCCCGAGGCUCAACCUCGGGUCUGCAGUCGAUACGAGCAAACUAGAGUGUUGCAGGGGAGACUGGAAUUCCUAGUGUAGCGGUGAAAUGCGCAGAUAUCAGGAGGAACACCGGUGGCGAAGGCGGGUCUCUGGGCAACAACUGACGCUGAGGAGCGAAAGCGUGGGGAGCGAACAGG
RNAcentral lists this ribosomal RNA (253 nucleotides) under uncultured bacterium. RNAcentral's name for it is "partial 16S ribosomal RNA". It matches the Rfam family "Bacterial small subunit ribosomal RNA", at positions 524 to 776 of the family's 1533-position model. The record is from RNAcentral.